This 253-nucleotide ribosomal RNA is filed under the name uncultured bacterium. RNAcentral describes it as "partial 16S ribosomal RNA". It matches the Rfam family "Bacterial small subunit ribosomal RNA", at positions 524 to 776 of the family's 1533-position model. The record is from RNAcentral.
UACAGAGGUCUCGAGCGUUAGGCGGAAUCACUGGGCUUAAAGCGUGUGUAGGCGGAUCGGUAAGUACCUUGUGAAAUCCCACAGCUUAACUGUGGAACUGCUUGGUAUACUGCCAGUCUUGAGCCACUUAGGGGCUACCGGAACAAAUGGUGGAGCGGUGAAAUGCGUAGAUAUCAUUUGGAACGCCAAUGGUGAAAACAGGUAACUGGGAGUGUGCUGACGCUGAGACACGAAAGCCAGGGGAGCGAACGGG